This 715-nucleotide ribosomal RNA is filed under the name uncultured bacterium. RNAcentral's name for it is "bacterial SSU rRNA". It matches the Rfam family "Bacterial small subunit ribosomal RNA", at positions 9 to 735 of the family's 1533-position model. The record is from RNAcentral.
GAGUUUGAUCCUGGCUCAGGAUGAACGCUGGCGGCGUGCCUAACACAUGCAAGUCGAACGGAGUUACAGUGAAACCUAGUGAUCUGUAACUUAGUGGCGGACGGGUGAGUAACGCGUGGGUAACCUGCCUUGUACUGGGGGAUAACACCUGGAAACAGGUGCUAAUACCGCAUAAGCGCACAGAGCCGCAUGGCUCAGUGUGAAAAACUCCGGUGGUACAAGAUGGACCCGCGUCUGAUUAGCCAGUUGGGGGGGUAACGGCCCACCAAAGCGACGAUCAGUAGCCGGCCUGAGAGGGUGAACGGCCACAUUGGGACUGAGACACGGCCCAAACUCCUACGGGAGGCAGCAGUGGGGAAUAUUGCACAAUGGGGGAAACCCUGAUGCAGCAACGCCGCGUGAGUGAAGAAGUAAUUCGUUAUGUAAAGCUCUAUCAGCAGGGAAGAAAAUGACGGUACCUGAGUAAGCAGCCCCGGCUAACUACGUGCCAGCAGCCGCGGUAAUACGUAGGGGGCAAGCGUUAUCCGGAUUUACUGGGUGUAAAGGGAGCGUAGACGGUUAUGCAAGUCUGAAGUGAAAUGCCAGUGCUCAACACUGGAACUGCUUUGGAAACUGUGUAACUGGAGUGCAGGAGAGGUAAGUGGAAUUCCUAGUGUAGCGGUGAAAUGCGUAGAUAUUAGGAGGAACACCAGUGGCGAAGGCGGCUUACUGGACU